This 26-nucleotide non-coding RNA is filed under the name Mus musculus (house mouse). The record is from RNAcentral. Lineage: Eukaryota; Metazoa; Chordata; Mammalia; Rodentia; Muridae.
UGAAGUCGAGCAGUCCUCUGAGGGGG